UGUGAUAUACUUAGUAAGUUGUUUUACACAACCCUUGAUGCUUAGUUCCCUUUCAUCAAGCAUAUUACAAACGUUAGAAGUGUUAACUAUCUAAACGUUAAAGGAGAAAUUAUG
Molecule: regulatory RNA element, 114 nt
Organism: Streptococcus agalactiae 2603V/R
Lineage: Bacteria; Bacillati; Bacillota; Bacilli; Lactobacillales; Streptococcaceae
Rfam family: PreQ1-II (pre queuosine) riboswitch aptamer
About the family: Q is a hyper modified nucleoside present in some anticodons in tRNAs (Try, Asn, Asp and His).
Source: Rfam